This 445-nucleotide ribosomal RNA is filed under the name uncultured bacterium. Its description in RNAcentral is "SSU rRNA". It matches the Rfam family "Bacterial small subunit ribosomal RNA", at positions 26 to 518 of the family's 1533-position model. The record is from RNAcentral.
AGAAUGAACGCUGGCGGCAGGCCUAAAACAUGCAAGUCGAACGCUGUAGCAAUACAGAGUGGCGCACGGGUGAGUAACAUGUGGGAAUAUGCCUUUUGGUACGGAACAACGUUUGGAAACGAACGCUAAUACCGUAUGGUCCCUUCGGGGUAAAGAUUUAUCGCCAAAAAGAUUAGCCCGCACUAGAUUAGCUAGUUGGUAAGGUAAUGGCUUACCAAGGCGACGAUCUAUAGCUGGUCUGAGAGGACGAUCAGCCACACUGGGACUGAGACACGGCCCAGACUCCUACGGGAGGCAGCAGUUAGGAAUAUUGGACAAUGGGCGCAAGCCUGAUCCAGCCAUGCCGCGUGAGUGAUGAAGGCCUUCGGGUUGUAAAGCUCUUUAGCCGAUGAAUAUAAUGACUGUAGUCGGAAAAUAGCCCGGCUAACUUCGUGCCAGCAGCCGC